Molecule: ribosomal RNA, 1536 nt
Filed under: Triticum aestivum (bread wheat)
Lineage: Eukaryota; Viridiplantae; Streptophyta; Magnoliopsida; Poales; Poaceae
Description: partial small subunit ribosomal RNA
Source: RNAcentral
AUGGCGGCGGAGGAGAAGCAAGAGAUGGGAGCGGGAGCAGCGCCGGGAGAGAAGGGACCGACGACCGGGGACAAGGCGAUGGGGAAGACGGGAGCGACGGAGGAGAUGAAGGGAGACGCGGCCGCGGAUAAGCAGAAGGGGUCGACGGCGGAGAAGGAAGAGAAGGGAGCGACGGCCGGGGAUGAGGAAAAGGGGGACGAGGAGGAGGAGGCGGAGCAAAAGGGAGAGAAUCAGUCGGCGUCGGCGAAGAGGGGGCAUAAGAAGAAGGCGGAAGCAGAGGAGACUGCGGCGGAGAAUGGGGCGGCGGCGACGGAGAGGGAAAGAAGGGAGCGACAAAGUUUUAGCAGAACGAAGGGACAACGGCCGGAGGAGAAGGGAGCGAUGGAAGAGGUGGCCGGCAAAAAAGAGAUCUUUUUCUUCAAGGCCAGUGCUGUCAUCACCUUGGAGAGCUCGGAUGGGAUGCUGUUCACGGUGUCGGAGGAGGCGGCACGGCUGUCCGUGCCCCUCGCCGACAUGAUCGACCAGGGCUGCGCCGAAGGCAUCAUCCAGCUACCCAACGUGGACGCCACGGCCCUCGCCACGGUGAUCGAGUACUGCAACAAGCACGCCGACGCCGCCUCUGCCAACAGCCGCGCCAAUGAGGGCGGCAGCAGCUGCAACUCCGAGGCAUCCGUGGAGGCGCUGAUGGAGUGGGACCGCAAGCUCGUCGACGGCCUCAGCCAGGACGCCCUCUGCGACGUCAUCAUCGCCGCUAAGUUCCUCCGCAUCAAGGGGCUCUUCGACGCUGCCUGCCAGAAGGUCGCCGUCGUGGACAUGGUCAAUUCCAAGACCCCCGGGCAGAUGCACCAGAUAGAGGAGGAAGACAUGUGCACAUGGUUCUCUGGACUUACUCCCUUUUCUGAGAAGGGGACGGCGGCAGCGGAGGGGGCAAGAACCAAUGGUCAACGGCCGGAGGAGAAGGGAGCGAUGGCAGAGGAGAAGGAGCAGGUUGCUGGCGAAAACGACACAUUUUUCUUCAGGGCCAGCGGAAAAAUCAUCACCUUAAAGAGCUCGGAUGGGAUGCUGUUCAAGGUGUCGGAGGCUGCAGCACGGCUGUCCGUGGUCCUCGCCGACAUGAUCGACCAGGACUGCGCCAAAGGCAUCAUCCAGCUGCCCAAUGUGGACGCCAGGGCCCUCGCCACGGUGAUUGAAUACUGCAAUGAGCACGCCGACGCCACCGCCACCGCCAAUCCCGACGCCAACCACGGUGUCGCUGAGGGCAGCAGCAGCUGCAACUCCGAGGCAUCCAGUGAGGUGCUGAAGGAGUGGGACCGCAAGCUUGUCGACGGCCUCAGCCAGGACGCCCUCUACGACCUCAUCAUGGCCGUCAACUUCCUCCACAUCAAGGGACUCCUCGACGCUGCCUGCCAGAAGGUCGCCGACAUGAUCAAGGGCAAGAGCGUGGAGCAGACGCGCAAGAUGUUCGGCAUCGCCACCGACUUCACCGAGGAGGAGGAGGAGGAACUGCGUAAAGAGAGUCCAUGGGCCUUCGAGUAA